RNAcentral lists this transfer RNA (74 nucleotides) under Nakamurella leprariae. It matches the Rfam family "tRNA". Rfam says of the family: Transfer RNA (tRNA) molecules are approximately 80 nucleotides in length. Their secondary structure includes four short double-helical elements and three loops (D, anti-codon, and T loops). The record is from Rfam by way of RNAcentral. Lineage: Bacteria; Bacillati; Actinomycetota; Actinomycetes; Nakamurellales; Nakamurellaceae.
GCGCUCGUAGCUCAGCUGGACAGAGCAGAGGACUUCUAAUCCUCGGGUCGCAGGUUCGAAUCCUGCCGGGCGCG